AUAUUUAGAGAUGGAUACUACAACCUGGCCGAGGACAACAGUGUGGCAAAUAUCGCACUUCAAGAAAAAAUAGAUCAGCUAGAGCUAGAGAAAAAGCUGCUGGUCUUACAAAAGGAAGUUUCGGAGAUGAAACUACAAAGCAAAGCAGAGAAAAACGAACCUGAUUUUAAGACGAUCGAGAGUUUGGUUCCCCCGCUCAGCGGACAAAAUGGCGUCGAUAUUGUGAUGUGGUUCGAAGAACUGGAAAGAGUUUUUGGAUUGCUCAGCGUUGACGAAAAACAGAAGCUGGUAACAACCCUUCGACUGCUUUCUGGGACAGCUCAAGAAAUUGCUCGUUCGUCGGGACUAUUCGACUACAGCUCUCUGAAACAAACGCUCUAGGGUAUUAUCAGAGCCAAUGUCAACGACCUCAACGUCCCUAUGGAUCGUGCCUUCGGUGUUCACAGACGGGCCAUUCACAUCGAGAAUGUCCAAGCCGUAGUAAAAUACCAGCCGCCGCUGUGAAUCCAACAAACGAGGACUCGGGCUUUUUACAACAAAUUCAAGCCAUGCAGGAGGAAGCCCCAGAAGUUUUAUAAAUGAAAAUUUGGUUCCUCCAUGCCUCUUGAAACAACCGGAAAAUUCAGGAUAUUGCGGUUUAGGUAACAGUGCGCUACUAUCGCUUGGACAAACUGAUUGUCGAAUUAAACAUCAAAAUAAUGAAAAAAUACAUGAGUUUAUUAUCUUACCGAAAAA
This is a long non-coding RNA of Anopheles stephensi (Asian malaria mosquito), 735 nucleotides long. RefSeq lists it as uncharacterized. The transcript has 2 exons. NCBI's taxonomy places the organism in Eukaryota, Metazoa, Arthropoda, Insecta, Diptera, Culicidae. The record is from RefSeq and is a predicted model, not a curated record.